AAUGGAUAUGUUCCAUUGUCCUGCUUCUUUCAUCGGAUGGCUCUCUUUGGGCUUUUCGAAAAGGUAUCACAUGCCAAGUUUGGCCUCACUGUAUAAAAGUUAUAGAGUCAUAAAGUUUUAAUCAAAG
This 127-nucleotide small RNA is filed under the name Arabidopsis thaliana (thale cress). Its description in RNAcentral is "ATSL274500". Lineage: Eukaryota; Viridiplantae; Streptophyta; Magnoliopsida; Brassicales; Brassicaceae. The record is from RNAcentral.